CAGAGAGAGGGGGGAGGUAUCGAGAGAGGAGGCAAAGAAAAGGGGACUAGGCCCGCCGGCUCCCCCCGUUGAUCCCUCGCCCCCCGCCACCAUUCGGUGAUGGAAUCAAACGGGAGCAAGGCCUCACACCGCUCCACCGGUCCUUCCUUUUCCGCCGCGCAGCCACGCACAUCGGAGGUGACGGCGCAAUGACAGCAGCAGCAGCGCCCUCUUCCCCCAAUCCCACCCAGCAACGUGGCUUUCUCCCCCCACGCCUUUCCCCUACUGGCCAUGGGAGUGAGCCUACUAUUGCCCCCUGUUGAGGUCCUCCAAUUCCCAUGGCGCGAAGCUCUUGUGUGGCGCCUCAGUCCUCCCCGUUGCCAUGGAAGCCGUCACGCCGUUGGGACCCGAGUUGCAGUGUGGGCUCCGCCAGCGCCGGCGGCCACCAUGGAGUGGGUCGUUCCUAUCCCCUCACGUUGCAUAUAUACUGGACGCGAGCAACAUUAUCGUUCUUAUUUGGGCCAGCCGGGUGCAAUGAGAAAGAUCUCAAUUACGGGAUCCACAAGAUGUUGAGAAAGAAAUCAGCCGGAGAUCUUUAACUCUUCAGAAUUGCACAAGCCCACAAACGGAUCUCACGCU
This is a long non-coding RNA of Hordeum vulgare subsp. vulgare (domesticated barley), 618 nucleotides long. RefSeq lists it as uncharacterized. Lineage: Eukaryota; Viridiplantae; Streptophyta; Magnoliopsida; Poales; Poaceae. The transcript is spliced from 3 exons. The record is from RefSeq and is a predicted model, not a curated record.